AUUGGAGGCCUGUUUUUCUGUGAAAUAGGAACCAAGGUGAACUGAGGGCAGGGAAUAUUACUACCAUAAGACAAACUGAAGUCCCAGAAAGUCUAUUCCUUCCUAGGAAGAUCUCCAGCUUUGCUCAGGAAGUACAGGAUGUAAAAUCAACCCUCUUCCUCCAAGAAAGAGAAAUACCAAAAAGGACCCCAAUCCAUAAGCGUUCACAUCAAGGCCAGGCCUGGACCUAGAAGCAGAACUUGGGAGAGCAAGUGGAGUAGAGGGCCAAAGUGAAUAGAGAAGCUAAAGAAAAGGCAUUCUGCUACAAGGAUACUCAGAAUUCAUCUCAGCCAUCUGGAGUCGGUCAUAUGUCUUUCUGAAUCAGGAACUAAUGAAUCCCAGCACCUUGCCGGAUGCAGAGGAGGCUCAAACGUUGCUUGAUGACGGACGACACAGAAUUGGCUGUGGGGAGGCCAGCCUGGAGCUCACUAGUAGAGGAGUCUGUGCAAGGUGAAGGAUGGUG
This 502-nucleotide long non-coding RNA is filed under the name Capra hircus (goat). RNAcentral's name for it is "lncRNA (ENSCHIG00000000687.1)". Lineage: Eukaryota; Metazoa; Chordata; Mammalia; Artiodactyla; Bovidae. The record is from RNAcentral.